This 772-nucleotide ribosomal RNA is filed under the name Lactobacillus casei group sp. Its description in RNAcentral is "bacterial SSU rRNA". It matches the Rfam family "Bacterial small subunit ribosomal RNA", at positions 48 to 784 of the family's 1533-position model. The record is from RNAcentral. Lineage: Bacteria; Bacillati; Bacillota; Bacilli; Lactobacillales; Lactobacillaceae.
CUAAUACAUGCAAGUCGAACGAGUUCUCGUUGAUGAUCGGUGCUUGCACCGAGAUUCAACAUGGAACGAGUGGCGGACGGGUGAGUAACACGUGGGUAACCUGCCCUUAAGUGGGGGAUAACAUUUGGAAACAGAUGCUAAUACCGCAUAGAUCCAAGAACCGCAUGGUUCUUGGCUGAAAGAUGGCGUAAGCUAUCGCUUUUGGAUGGACCCGCGGCGUAUUAGCUAGUUGGUGAGGUAAUGGCUCACCAAGGCGAUGAUACGUAGCCGAACUGAGAGGUUGAUCGGCCACAUUGGGACUGAGACACGGCCCAAACUCCUACGGGAGGCAGCAGUAGGGAAUCUUCCACAAUGGACGCAAGUCUGAUGGAGCAACGCCGCGUGAGUGAAGAAGGCUUUCGGGUCGUAAAACUCUGUUGUUGGAGAAGAAUGGUCGGCAGAGUAACUGUUGUCGGCGUGACGGUAUCCAACCAGAAAGCCACGGCUAACUACGUGCCAGCAGCCGCGGUAAUACGUAGGUGGCAAGCGUUAUCCGGAUUUAUUGGGCGUAAAGCGAGCGCAGGCGGUUUUUUAAGUCUGAUGUGAAAGCCCUCGGCUUAACCGAGGAAGCGCAUCGGAAACUGGGAAACUUGAGUGCAGAAGAGGACAGUGGAACUCCAUGUGUAGCGGUGAAAUGCGUAGAUAUAUGGAAGAACACCAGUGGCGAAGGCGGCUGUCUGGUCUGUAACUGACGCUGAGGCUCGAAAGCAUGGGUAGCGAACAGGAUUAGAUA